GGAUUAGAUACCCUAUUAUAAGGAUUUAAAAUUAUUAAGCUUGAGUAGUAAUAGUUAUGAUCUUGAAACUUAUAGAAUUUGGCGGUGUUUUAGUCUAUUUAGAGGAAUCUGUCCCGUAAUCGAUAGUCCACGUUGAACUUAACUUGAUUUAUAAAUUUGUAUACCGCCGUUUUAUGAAAAUCUUUUUAGAGUAAAUUUUCUUGAAUUUUAAUUAUAAGGUAUUUCAGGUCAAGGUGCAGUUUAUGAUUAAGGGGUGAUGGAUUACAAUAUAACAAUGUAUAUGAAUUAUAAUUUGUAAAUUUUGUAUGAAGGUGGAUUUAAUAGUAAUAUUUUAUAGAUUGUAAAUAUGAUUUUAGCUCUAAGAUGUGCACACAUCGCCCGUCACUCUCGUUAGGUUUAAGGCGAGAUAAGUC
RNAcentral lists this ribosomal RNA (413 nucleotides) under Phoetalia pallida. RNAcentral describes it as "partial 12S ribosomal RNA". The record is from RNAcentral. Lineage: Eukaryota; Metazoa; Arthropoda; Insecta; Blattodea; Blaberidae.